GUCACGCGAGCGGCAACGGUUAUCGGUGAGUACCCUCAUCCUCUGGCCUACCUCUGAAACGGGAUAGUUUCAGGGGCUGUUUGCGGGUUCCGUCAGGUGGGGCUUGUUCCCGCCACUCGGGCUCGACGCUGCGUUACCCCGCAGGUCACCGAUACACGGGUUUCGUGGUCGUGAUCUGGCUGGGGCCGGGCUGACCCGGUUAGUG
Molecule: non-coding RNA, 205 nt
Filed under: unclassified sequences
Description: ilvB-OMG RNA
Rfam family: ilvB-OMG RNA
Source: RNAcentral